UGAUAGCGAUGAUCCGGGAGGUUGCAGAAGUCUGCCCAUCUGGGCUCUCAAGCUGGUAAUUCACGGGGAGUGAAUGUCAAGUUCAAGAAACUGACGACAA
RNAcentral lists this non-coding RNA (100 nucleotides) under bovine gut metagenome. RNAcentral describes it as "S10-Clostridia ribosomal protein leader". It matches the Rfam family "S10-Clostridia ribosomal protein leader". The record is from RNAcentral.